UACAGAGGUCUCGAGCGUUAGGCGGAAUCACUGGGCUUAAAGCGUGUGUAGGCGGAUCGGUAAGUACCUUGUGAAAUCCCACAGCUUAACUGUGGAACUGCUUGGUAUACUGCCAGUCUUGGGCCACUUAGGGGCUACCGGAACAAAUGGUGGAGCGGUGAAAUGCGUAGAUAUCAUUUGGAACGCCAAUGGUGAAAACAGGUAGCUGGGAGUGUGCUGACGCUGAGACACGAAAGCCAGGGGAGCAAACGGG
Molecule: ribosomal RNA, 253 nt
Filed under: uncultured bacterium
Lineage: Bacteria
Description: partial 16S ribosomal RNA
Rfam family: Bacterial small subunit ribosomal RNA
Source: RNAcentral